CAAGGUUCAUAGAUAGGGGUUAGGUUAUCUCAUAACUAUGUGGGCGGAAGCGAGAGGGAGGGGAAUGCCUACGUCACUCGUACGACAAAGUCAAGUUUGACAGUUGUUUGUGGUUAUAUUUCCGUAUAUUUUUGUGGAAUUUUCUUAUAAUAUCGUUUAUUUGUUUAAUAUUUGUUGAGUUUUUAAGCAUAUAAGGACAAUAUUACUAUAAUUACUUAUUUGGGUCCUAUACAAAGGCAGUAAUGACUUGUGAAGUGUGUUUUCGUAACCGUGUAAAAUGAGUGGUGGUAACAUUUGUAGCAUAGCUAUAUGUAAAAGCAACUCCAAAAUUCCUGAACCAGAUGGAAACAAAAUAAUGUUUUUGGACAUUUCCCAAAUACCUUAACAUUAUCAAACAAUAAUGGAUAAUAAAAUGUUACAAGAUAAAUGGGCCUCUAAACAUAAGAAAAUAGGUAGCAAACAUUUCCUCGUGUCUGAAUAUGUUAAUAUUAUGUUACGUCUUUUUUAUAUUUUAACCUAAUAAUAAAUUAUUUAUAUUA
Long non-coding RNA from Diabrotica virgifera virgifera (western corn rootworm), 539 nucleotides. RefSeq lists it as uncharacterized. NCBI's taxonomy places the organism in Eukaryota, Metazoa, Arthropoda, Insecta, Coleoptera, Chrysomelidae. The record is from RefSeq and is a predicted model, not a curated record. The transcript is spliced from 2 exons.